ACAUAGCCCUGAUGGGAACGGCAUCCUUUUUUGUCUGUUUUUAACGGACAAAAAAGAUACAGUGGACAGCAGGCUGGAAC
Molecule: small RNA, 80 nt
Filed under: Epilithonimonas pallida
Lineage: Bacteria; Pseudomonadati; Bacteroidota; Flavobacteriia; Flavobacteriales; Weeksellaceae
Description: Flavo-1 RNA
Rfam family: Flavo-1 RNA
Source: RNAcentral